This 493-nucleotide ribosomal RNA is filed under the name uncultured bacterium. RNAcentral's name for it is "bacterial SSU rRNA". It matches the Rfam family "Bacterial small subunit ribosomal RNA", at positions 28 to 521 of the family's 1533-position model. The record is from RNAcentral.
GAUGAACGCUAGCGGCAGGCUUAACACAUGCAAGUCGAGGGGUAGGUUACUUCGGUAAUUGAGACCGGCGCACGGGUGCGUAACGCGUAUACAAUCUACCUUUUACAGAGGGAUAGCCCAGAGAAAUUUGGAUUAAUACCUCAUAGUAUUUUUGAAUCGCAUGAUUUGAUUAUUAAAGUUCCAACGGUAAAAGAUGAGUAUGCGUCCCAUUAGCUAGAUGGUAAGGUAACGGCUUACCAUGGCUACGAUGGGUAGGGGUCCUGAGAGGGAGAUCCCCCCACACUGGUACUGAGACACGGACCAGACUCCUACGGGAGGCAGCAGUGAGGAAUAUUGGACAAUGGGCGCAAGCCUGAUCCAGCCAUGCCGCGUGCAGGAAGAAGGUCCUAUGGAUUGUAAACUGCUUUUANACAGGAAGAAACACUCCCUCGUGAGGGAACUUGACGGUACUGUAUGAAUAAGGACCGGCUAACUCCGUGCCAGCAGCCGCGGU